UUAUUCUUAGACCAGGCUUGUUUAAGUUUAAUUUUUAGCUUUAAGUAGUAAUUUAGUAUUUCUUUUUUGCAUUUUUGUUUAAGUAGUUACUGUUUAUGCAUUUACUGUUUGAGAUUAAAAUAUUAAAUUUUGGGUGCUUUGUGGUAAUGUACUUUCUUAAAUAGCUUUGGUAAAACUUUGAGAGGGGACUUGGAAGUAAGAAGAAAAGGAAGGGGAAAACCCCAAAAAAGGAGAACAAAAUUAAAGAGAAACCCAGUGAUUCCACUCCCAGGGAACAAAGAGAAAGCAUAGUGGAAAUGCUAAUGAAUUGUUCCUAUAUUAGUAAAUUGUGGUUAGAGAGGACUUAUAGCUCGUGCAUAUGAAAUUGCACUGUGGUUUAGUGCAUAAAAUCAUUAAUUAUAUUGGAAAUUGGCCAACCAUGCUGCUGUUACAUUUUGUGGUUGAAGUGCAUGCAGCUUGAUGACAUGCUGCAGCACAUAUGCUUGCUGUAACAGCAAGGUUUCUCUUUAGUUUCAUUCUAAUUAAUCUAGUUUAAAAUGGACAAGUUGAUGACAACUUGAUGCAUUAGGUGUUGAAUGACUAGUUUAGGCGGCUUGUUUAUGUGUACAAGCAAUGUUUUAAUAGUCCCAAUGCUGAUUAGUGGGGUUAGUUGACUAUUUGGUGAUGUAUUUGACUAUAAAUGUAUGUUUUUUCUAGUUGAAUGAAUGAGCUGAAUGAGCUAUCAGCCAUUAGCUCCCUUGCUGCACAUUUGUGAGCAAGUAAAAAUGCUUCUUGCACCUUGCUUCAUGUUCUGUGCUCUUGUUCUCUCUUUUGUUGCUGCCUCUUGCACCAACAAUUGGUAUCAGAGCCUAUGUCUUACGGGACCAUUGAUUUUGCUUCCCCUGCUUGUUGAAAUGAAAGAAGCUGUCAAAGCACAAGCAAGUCAUUAAGGACUGCUUGUAGAGAAGAUAAUAUCGGUUCAAACUUAUAAGAUCCCCAAACUAGCUUGAAUAAGCUGAAGGAGGAGUUUAAAGGAAAGGUGUGAGCUUUCCAAAUGUGCAAGCUUAGCAAGAUGUCAAAGCUGCAAGCUUAGCAAAGUGCGAGCCUGAUGAAGACACCUGUUGAAGACAAUAUGCAAAGAUGUGAGUCUGUCAAAGGUGUGAGCUCAGCAACAUGUGGAAGCUCAAUGCGUGUUGUAUAGUUGCAAGCCUCUUGAAGACAGUAAGCAAAGUGUGAGCCUGUCGAAUUGCAAGCCAAAAUGGCAGAAUGAAGGCAAGCAACUAUACUCACGAACUGUUUGUGCAAGAAGAAAAUGAAUUGGUCAGCUUGAAUCAAAGCAUCUAAGAGCUGCCAAGUUCAAAAAACUUGAUGAAUGACUGGUAUUUGCAGCAUGGAGUCCAAGGAGGAGUAUUGGAAAUUGGCCAACCAUGCUGCUGUUACAUUUUGUGGUUGAAGUGCAUGCAGCUUGAUGACAUGCUGCAGCACAUAUGCUUGCUGUAACAGCAAGGUUUCUCUUUAGUUUCAUUCUAAUUAAUCUAGUUUAAAAUGGACAAGUUGAUGACAACUUGAUGCAUUAGGUGUUGAAUGACUAGUUUAGGCGGCUUGUUUAUGUGUACAAGCAAUGUUUUAAUAGUCCCAAUGCUGAUUAGUGGGGUUAGUUGACUAUUUGGUGAUGUAUUUGACUAUAAAUGUAUGUUUUUUCUAGUUGAAUGAAUGAGCUGAAUGAGCUAUCAGCCAUUAGCUCCCUUGCUGCACAUUUGUGAGCAAGUAAAAAUGCUUCUUGCACCUUGCUUCAUGUUCUGUGCUCUUGUUCUCUCUUUUGUUGCUGCCUCUUGCACCAACAAAUUACCUAACAAUUGUCUUCUUUUUGUGAUACAAUAAAAAAGUGAAAACCACAAAAGAAAAGGAAUAGUUUGGAUUCUUGGAAGUUGAAAUUUUGAUAAAUUAUAUCGUGUAAGUGCAAGUCCAGAUCCAUAUACACC
This 1961-nucleotide long non-coding RNA is filed under the name Gossypium barbadense (sea-island cotton). Its description in RNAcentral is "long non-coding RNA (GBAR_LNC020595)". The record is from RNAcentral. Lineage: Eukaryota; Viridiplantae; Streptophyta; Magnoliopsida; Malvales; Malvaceae.